UGGAAGUAAAAAAUCGUAACAAGGUCUCCGUAGGUGAACCUGCGGAGGGAUCAUUACACAAAGAUAUGAAGGUAGGGUACUGGCAACAGUGCUCUGCUGAAAUAUUUUCACCCAUGUCUUUUGCGCACUUUUUGUUUCCUGGGCGAGUUUGCUCGCCACCAGGACCCCCAUAUGAACCUUUUUUGUUUUUGCACUCAGCGUCAGUACAAUAAUUUAAUCUAUUAAAACUUUCAACAACGGAUCUCUUGGUUCUGGCAUCGAUGAAGAACGCAGCGAAAUGCGAUACGUAGUGUGAAUUGCAGAAUUCAGUGAAUCAUCGAAUCUUUGAACGCACAUUGCGCCCUUUGGUAUUCCAAAGGGCAUGCCUGUUCGAGCGUCAUUUGUACCCUCAAGCUUUGCUUGGUGUUGGGCGUCUUAUUGUCUCUCCGUCUCGGGGAGACUCGCCUUAAAACAAUUGGCAGCCGGCCUACUGGUUUCGGAGCGCAGCACAAAUUUGCGCUUGCAAUCAGCCAAGGGCGGCAUCCAUGAAGCCUUUUUUCUCUCACAUUUGACCUCGAUCAGGUAGGAUCCGUCGUUGC
Molecule: ribosomal RNA, 578 nt
Filed under: Exserohilum turcicum
Lineage: Eukaryota; Fungi; Ascomycota; Dothideomycetes; Pleosporales; Pleosporaceae
Description: eukaryotic LSU rRNA
Rfam family: 5.8S ribosomal RNA (bases 226-379)
Source: RNAcentral